AAAAAAAAUUAGGCAUGACUGCUUAUAUUUCUCAAUGAUUCCGUCAGAGGAAAAAACUUCCCAUAACCCUCCAUCUUCUUUGCUUCGAUCUCUUCAAUAACCAAUGUCUAUCACCGCCACCAACCUAGAAAACUCCUCCAUCUUUUUCUCUUCGCUAGGGUAUUGUCACCGGCGAACUGCAAUUUCGUUGCUGUAAUGGUUUUGAUUUAGUUGCUUUGUUUUUGGAGUUAGAGAAAAACCUAACCAUUGUCUCCACCGUCACGUCCCCGAAAAUUGUGCUUUUCUUCUUGAGGUUUCUCUCUUAUUUUUUUCUUUGAAUCAGUAUUAAUUAAUUGGUAUGUCGUGUGUGUUAAUUACGAUUGCUCUUCUUCUCUGGGUAUAGUAUGUAUUUUUCAUCCAUUUUUAUAUUUUGUUUUGUGUAAUUGGUUGAUUUUAAGGUUGUGCUAUAAAUUCAAUUGAAAUUGAUAGUUUAACAAUGAAAAUUAAAAUUAUUGAAAUUUAGGAUUUGAACUUUGAUUUAUAAUUUGGGAAACAAAAUCGUGAAAAGAAGAAGGGAGAAUGGCCUGAACUGAGAAGUUAAUUGGGGUUUCAUAAGUGUUUGAUUGGUAGUUCUAAUUGUAUAACAUCUAAUAACUAAGAGAAGUCACAUAUUCAAUCUGUUUGUUGAAUUAUAGUUCGAAUUGAGUUUAUAAUUAAGAGAAGUCUCAUGUUCAAUUUGUUUGUUCUCUCGCAAUUUUAUUGCCCCCACCAAUCGAUUUCUUUUAGGUAAUUUGGCAACCCAACCCAAUAAUUUUAGAUUACAUGAAUUAAGUUUUUUAUUAUUUUGCUGCAUUCUGUAGCAUUUUGAGCAUCUGGUUGUUGCCUCUCUGCACGCAUAAACGAAGUUUCUUUUGUGUUACUUGUAGAAAUCAAGAUUGAUAAAGUGACAACUUUAGCUUGUAGGUCAGUGAAAUGUCAUGUAUUGUUAAUUUUUAGCUCAAAUAUUAGUCUUUAGCUUUCUUAAUGUUAGGGUAAUUGUGAUUUUUAAUGUUCUUACAAGUGACGUUUAUGCAAAGUAAUAUGGAGUUGUAUUCCGGUGUAAAAUUGGAAAACAACAAAGUAACAAAGUAUGUGUAACCGGCAAUUAAGAAUCACAAUUAAGAAGCAUGGGAUCAAGAGGAGGGUUCAGUUAUUUUGUUUUCAAGCAAAUGUAUGAGAAUGGACAAUUUCCAAAACUUCCAAAGCUAGGGAAGAGAAUCCUCAAGAGCUUGUAACUUUCCUGAAGGAUCACCUAGAUCUCCUGUGGUUUCAUGAAUUUUUUCUUCAUCAAUAUUCUGGUGCUUCAAAAAAAAUUCAAGGUUUGGCACUUACUGGAGAUGAAAGAUUAUUUGCAGCUGCUGGAAAGGUGACAUAACUAAAUUCUGGAACAAAUUAAAAGACAUUUCCCGGAAGGAAGCUAUCAAUUCAAAGAUAGCUGUUAUUGCAGGUUUGCCCUUGUGUCCUUUUUACAACACUUUGCUCUUGUUUUUAGUAAUUUUUAAAUGCAAAACUCCUAGUUUUUUAUAUACAUGAAUACUUGUUAAACUGAUGCAAUGUGUUGCACGCGGUAUCUGUGAUUUUGAAUGUGUUCAAUGGUUGUGCCUGCAUAACUGUAUCUAAGUAUGAUUGUAUGGAGGGGAAAUGUACCAGGAGGAGGGGGGAAGAAGAAGGGAUGUAACCCUUCAACUAUUAAGUUUAUAGUCUUUGUAGAAUCCCCUGUUCCGAGUGAUAAGGUUUCUGUUGUGUUUUCGCAUGGCCUUUAACUGAGUACAAGCUUGAAACAUGCUACCACGAAAAGUUGUAUCAUGCUUAAAAAUUUCAUGUGGCAUUAUUUUAAUUCAAUAAACAGACGUUUUCAUUUUAAUUGAAGAAUUUGCACCAGAAUUUUGAGUGGUUUGUCAAACAUGGCGUUUAAUCAUCUCAUCAACUUUUAGUUUUAUUAUAUUCCUGCUGGAUUUGGUCUUUUAAUAAAGAGCCUUUCUUAAUGUUUCAAGUACGGAUAGAUAAUUGGACUACCACUUACUGUUUUAUCCCCAUUCACGUUGAUUCAGGGCUUUGAAUUCUUGUUUCGAGGUAUCAACAAUAUCAAGCCCAUUGAUUUUCCUUUUUGGUUAAUUUGUUAUUUAGGUUUUUGGUUUUGCCACGAAAACUUUCAGCAUAUUGUUCGGUCUACUUCUUGAGGCACAAGCUUAGAGGUUUCAGGUUUAUAACUUCUAGAAUUGGUCCUUGUUCAUUGACCUAGCGGAGACGAUUAAUCUUCUAUCCUCUACUAAAGUCCAACCUUCCCUUGUAGUGGGCCUGCAGUUGCCGACGACCACUUCCUUUCUGUAACCACAACUCUUGAUCAUUGCCAUCACUUCUAUGAGUUAUGCUGCUAAACUUGUUACUACCACUUUGCUUAAAAAAUUGCCUCAAGGCCAUAACAUGAGCGACAGCAUGCCUACUACAACACAGUUUGGCUAUUAAAGUAAUUGGUUAGGAAAGAGGAUUUGUGAAUGAAUUGGGGUGUAGUAAACUUCCUACAUUAUUUGCGCCCCAAAUUCUGUUUUAGCAAUCUUACUAAUUAAUGUAGUAACUUAUCUUUUAAUUUAGAACUGUAGUUACGUUCUUCUGACCUGUAGAAAUCUCUUUUUUGUUGCAUAAGUAUAGGAAUAAUGAGCCUAAAAGUAUAUUUGGUGAAGUUUAUAAGACGCAUCAUGUUGUAUAGUAAGCUAACUUCCUUUUUUUGCACUGGUUUAUUUUCUGCAACUUUGUUUAGCAAACAACAAUUUGUUAAUGCUAGGAUGUUAAUUGACCUUGUAACUAAUGCAGAACCCUAGAUAAAAAAUAUCAAAUUUAGAGAUGGAGGUAGCUGCCACAAGGGCUACACAAGAAUAUAUAAUAGAUGGAUCCCCUGAUUCAUAAUCUAGAUUCAUAAGGAGAGUAAAGUUAUCUGUGUUAAACAACAAACAUUGGGAACUCUGUUUUGUUGAUUUAUUUCUGGCAUUAUCAUUUGCUUUCAAGUUUACUGGAAUCCUUGUAUGUUGGAUUCUUGUCUUAUUUAGAUGGCUCUCCAUUUUUAUUUUACCUACAACUUGGUACAUUAGUCAAAUAUGAUACUUCCUGUAGUUUUACUAUUUCAUUCCUGCAAUGUUUUGUUCUUGUAUUUAGCUUAAUUUUUGUUGAACAUGUUUUUAUAUUCAAGUCUGUUAAAAUUUUAAUUCACCCAUUGUGUGUUUCCAUAAAAUUUUGACUUCGACUUGGGUAACUAUGAGCGGUUCCUUGAUGUGACUCUGUCAACUGUCAAGAGACAACAACUAGGAGGAUAGAUCAGUCUGUUCUUUAAAGGAAGAGGAGAGGAGAUUGCCUUGGAAAAGCUAUGCAGUACUAUAGUGGAGUGCCUAUUACUUAUUCUCAAGCGAAGAUUGGCGAGUUGAAGGAGUAGGCGGUUACAUAUGUGUUCAAGAAUAAAUAGUGGGUGAGGAAUCUGAAGGUGGUAUGGAUUAUGGAGAUACCGAAAUAUGCUUAUCAUUUUAAUAUUAAAAUUUUGUACUUUGUAUUUCUUUUUCGAUAAGUUUAUAGGAUGAAACAUUAAUCAUCCUUGAAAUGUUAACAUUUUUUGUAAUAUUUUUACGAUUAAUGAAAGAUUUGAAUGAUUUUGGUAUUAAAAUAAGAA
Molecule: long non-coding RNA, 3673 nt
Organism: Spinacia oleracea (spinach)
Lineage: Eukaryota; Viridiplantae; Streptophyta; Magnoliopsida; Caryophyllales; Amaranthaceae
Exons: 3
Source: RefSeq, a predicted model, not a curated record